RNAcentral lists this unclassified non-coding RNA (334 nucleotides) under Hevea brasiliensis (rubber tree). The record is from RNAcentral. Lineage: Eukaryota; Viridiplantae; Streptophyta; Magnoliopsida; Malpighiales; Euphorbiaceae.
AAGAAAAGAAAUUGGUUUUUUUUUCUUCUUCAUUUCCGUCAACCUUCAUCUCCUCUCUCAUCUCUCUCUUUUUCUUAACUCUCCAUCUCCACAAACUCCAUUAAAGCUCAAUUUUGAGCUUGUAUAUCAUAAAAUUUCACCAUAAAAAAAUUAGCCACCAUAGUUAAAGCUUAUCUAGGCAACUUGAGAAGAGGAUUGAGCAAGAAAGAAAGAAGGAAAAUUUGAAGGAAAGGAGGAAGAAAAUUGCUACACAAAGAUACAGAGCAUAGAGGAGCAGCAGACUAAGCUGCUGAGGUGUGAGGAACCAUCGGCUUGAAGUCUUCGGGUAUAAUUU